GCUGUUUUGGCAGAUUUAGUGCAUUAAAUUUAGAAUUUAAUUAAAUGAAUAAAUAAUCAUACACAGCA
This 68-nucleotide transfer RNA is filed under the name Tettigades undata. RNAcentral's name for it is "tRNA-Leu". The record is from RNAcentral. Lineage: Eukaryota; Metazoa; Arthropoda; Insecta; Hemiptera; Cicadidae.